RNAcentral lists this long non-coding RNA (376 nucleotides) under Monodelphis domestica (gray short-tailed opossum). Its description in RNAcentral is "lncRNA (ENSMODG00000045597.1)". Lineage: Eukaryota; Metazoa; Chordata; Mammalia; Didelphimorphia; Didelphidae. The record is from RNAcentral.
UUGAGGGAUAUUAAGGGAACAGCCCUGGCUGGGACGAGUUGGGCGGGGGGGCGCUAGAGAGAGAGGGACUUCUUUCUCCAAGUUAGCUCACUCCUCAAAAAUGCAGGUGUCAGAAAGUUUUCGGGUAGGCGCGCCUCCGGGGGACAGCUCCCAGUCUGACCUAGGGAUCUUCUGCAAGAAGAAAGAAAGGAAUGGCCCAAACAGUCUUAAUCUAGUAUUCUUCAUUCACUCCAAGUGCAGGUGCAUCUCAUUUUAUGCAACAGGCAUAUGUGUAAACCAAAAUUUAAAAAAAGGAUUCAUAUUUAAAAGCAUCUGAUGGAGCUUGCUAUUUAAAGUGAUGCCCAAUAGAUUUUGCUCCAGCCUCUUACCUUUACCC